ACGGGAGGCAUCAGUAGGGAAUAUUGCACAAUGGGGGGAACCCUGAUGCAGCAACGCCACGUGUGGGAAGAAGCAUUUCGGUGUGUAAACCACUGUCGUGAGGGAAUAAUGCUUGAUUUCGGUCAAGUUGAAUGUACCUCGAAAGGAAGCACCGGCAAACUUCGUGCCAGCAGCCGCGGUAAUACGAGGGGUGCAAGCGUUGUUCGAAAUCACUGGGCGUAAAGGGAGCGUAGGCGGAGCCGCAAGCAGUCUUUACAAUACCGGGGCCCAACCCCGGACCUGCAGACUGGACUGUGUCUCUUGGAUAGUUCAGGGGCAGGCGGAAUUCCUGGUGUAGCGGUGGAAUGCGUAGAGAUCAGGAAGAACACCGAUGGCGAAGGCAGCCUGCUGGGGACUCAUCGACGCUGAGGCUCGAAAGUGCGGGUAGCAAACAGGAUUAGAUACCCUGGUA
This 451-nucleotide ribosomal RNA is filed under the name uncultured Fibrobacter sp. RNAcentral's name for it is "bacterial SSU rRNA". It matches the Rfam family "Bacterial small subunit ribosomal RNA", at positions 341 to 792 of the family's 1533-position model. Lineage: Bacteria; Pseudomonadati; Fibrobacterota; Fibrobacteria; Fibrobacterales; Fibrobacteraceae. The record is from RNAcentral.